Molecule: ribosomal RNA, 480 nt
Filed under: uncultured bacterium
Lineage: Bacteria
Description: bacterial SSU rRNA
Rfam family: Bacterial small subunit ribosomal RNA
Source: RNAcentral
CCAGGACGAACGCUGGCGGCGUGCCUAACACAUGCAAGUCGAGCGAGAAAGACAUCUUCGGGUGUUGAGUACAGCGGCGGACGGGUGAGUAACACGUGAACAACCUGCCCUUGAGACUGGGAUAACAUCGGGAAACCGGUGCUAAUACCGGAUACGCUCUAGUUGCCGCAUGGCAGGUAGAGGAAAGGAAUAACUGCUCAAGGAUGGGUUCGCGUCCCAUUAGCUAGUUGGUGGGGUAACGGCCUACCAAGGCGGCGAUGGGUAGCCGGCCUGAGAGGGUGUACGGCCACACUGGGACUGAGACACGGCCCAGACUCCUACGGGAGGCAGCAGUGGGGAAUUUUGCGCAAAUGGGGGGAACCCUGACGCAGCGACGCCGCGUGAGCGAAGAAGGUUUUCGGAUCGUAAAGUUCUGUCACAGGGGACGAUAGUGACGGUACCCUGGGAGGAAGCCCCGGCUAACUACGUGCCAGCCGCCGC